AUAAAGUACCAUUUUUUUGUCAUCAAAUCAAAAAUUUGUGGACGAAAAUCCAAAAAUCAAGAAUGGCAAAGUGGAGUGGCAUCAUUGCUGUUGUGUCUUUGACGGUGUUUUUGAUGUCAUUGACGGCGGCAACAGUGCUUCCAAUUCAUCCUUACUUGAAAGUUGAAGACACAUUCAUUUCUCAACUCUAUGAUACUUCCAACUAUGGUUUUCUUCAAAUUGACAAUGGCUUGGCUCGAACUCCUCAGAUG
RNAcentral lists this unclassified non-coding RNA (251 nucleotides) under Hevea brasiliensis (rubber tree). Lineage: Eukaryota; Viridiplantae; Streptophyta; Magnoliopsida; Malpighiales; Euphorbiaceae. The record is from RNAcentral.